GACGUAGGGCGCGAGCGUUGUCCGGAUUUAUUGGGCGUAAAGAGCUCGUAGGCGGCUUGUCGCGUCGGCUGUGAAAACCUGGGGCUCAACCCCGGGCCUGCAGCCGAUACGGGCAAGCUAGAAUUCGGUAGGGGAGACUGGAAUUCCCGGUGUAGUGGUGAAAUGCGUAGAGAUCGGGAGGAACACCUGUGGCGAAGGCGGCCCCCUGGGCCGGCCCUGACACUGAGACGCGAAGGCGUGGGGGAGCGAACGGG
Molecule: ribosomal RNA, 254 nt
Filed under: uncultured bacterium
Lineage: Bacteria
Description: partial 16S ribosomal RNA
Rfam family: Bacterial small subunit ribosomal RNA
Source: RNAcentral